AGGUUAAAAGUUUUAGCUUUUUAUUUUUGGACUUUUUUGGACUUUUGGAUUACGGGAGUUACUGUGCAUGACUGUAAAUCUCCUCUAUUGGGCUGCCUCCAGAAACACUGCGACCAAUCAGGAACCUCCACCGUGCCCCAUCCCCCAGCAAGCUCCUCGGCCCAGUCUGAGCAGCCAGUCAGGGGGCCACUGAGCUGUGGCACGUCGAACCGCAUUACCCAAAAUUCCCUGUGUAUCCCCAAGGCUCGACUACGUUGGGAGUGUGUUGUGUCGUCUGAGGCCUGUCUGCAAGCUUGGGGCAUCAAUAUUGAUCACUGUCCUGUCAACAUACCCAAUCAAGUUGGCCUCAGUCAAUGAUUCCUUAUUUUUAAAGAAUCGAUGCAUGGAAGACAGUGAACAUGUGACGCACUCCUUCAGACAGCUGAUUGACAGCAAGUCGCCCCCGUGGCAGAAAAUCCAUGGCCUUCUUCCCUCACCUUUACUCGGACUGCUGUCUCUCUGCUGCUGAUUUAUUGUGAUGCUAAUUUGAUUUUGGCUCACUGGCCUCCCACUUCUUUCUGCUGUUACCUUCGAGAGGGCUGGAUAAGUCUCCUUCUGCUGGUUUUGGCAUUAUACUAAAAAAAGUGAGAGUUUUUUUACGGGGAGGGAAAGUGACUUACUUUUUGUUUAAGAUGUACAGAUGGAAAUUAGAUUGUUUAUUAAACAAUGACUGAAGCUGAGGUCAUGUGAAGAGCUUUACAUUUUAAAGUAAGUGCGGUAAUGCGCGGUGACCCAGUUAUAUUGGACCGCAAUCAAAUAUAAAACCGAUCAAAAAAUUGAAAGCAGUAAUUGUUUUGGUCAGUCGAUGGAUUUAAUGGUCAGUGAUGACACUGUAUUAUGUAGUCUUGUCUAGAGUAUUGUGCAACAAAUUGUCAUUGUCUGAUUAUAUUUAUUGUUAUUCAUAUUAGUUGUUUUUUGUUCACCUCCUUUAUGUUUCUAAUUUCCCCAGUUCCUCUGUCACUCUGUACAUGUCCUCAUGUUUACCUGCGUUAUUUGUACUUUAGCUAUUUUCUGUUUUAUUUUGAAGGUUAAUGUUUUCAUUGGUAUUUCUCAUUGGUACUUCCUUUGUUAGAUUUCCCUCCUUGCUGAUUGUCUGACUUGCCCUUAGUGGUUCCAGCUGUUCUCAAUUACUUCCCUGUGUAUUUAAAAUCCUGUCUCUCCUUCAGUCUUUUGUCAGUCUGCUCUCCUUGUGCUUUUGUUCCUGUUUCCUGUGGUUGCCUUUCCUGGAUUCCUUUUUUCUUUGAAUCAAACCUCUUGUCAUUGUGUUUCUCUGUACUUUUUGUCUGUGUGUGUGUGUAUGUUUUUAUCGGCAUAUUAUUAAAAUUCAAAUUUUGUUGGCUCAAUCUGCUUCUUCUGUCUGCAUUUGGAUUUUGAUAACUCAUGACAUAAAUGUACAAUGCCUAAUGUGAAUGGGACACAGAAGGUCACAGCCCAUUGAGGCGAGGUCAAAGUCAUCUUAUAGCCCUUUUCCACUAGUACUUACUUGGCUCGCCUCAACUCUGCUUGACAAGGUUUUUAUGUUUCUCCAUUAAGUGGUAGUACGUGGAACCAGGUACUUUUUUAGUACCUACUCAGCCAGGGUUUUAAGCAAUCUGAGUCGACAAAAACGUGAAAUCUACAGACUGCAUGGCACCAAUUGGCCAAUCAGUGGCAUAAUUCAGUUAGUCAUGAGAGCUACUCCGUCACAAAAAUCAAAACUACCAUGAGGAAAAUGGCUAUACAAAAACCAAAUGUGACAAAAAAAACAUACUUCAAGCAGCAGGUAUACCAUCACCUCAACCUCCUCCACGGUUGUUUUGUGUUUGUGUCACAUAAUAAAUGAAUCACAGGCUUUUGAGCAUUUUGCUGUAACAAGCCCAAACACAUUGAGGUUGUACUCAGUUGUAAUGUAAAACUGAAUAAAGUCAAGCUGAGUAAGCCAAACAGGUACUAAUGGAAAUGGAAAAAGAGGCUUUAUUACUGUAUUAGACAGUGCAACUUACGCACAUGAAGGUUUGCAUCUAUAUUGUGACAACAUCAUUUUGUCUAGCAACCACCUAGCAUUUAUUCAAAUAAAACACCUUAAAUAAGCAUUGUAUCAUUUUUAUUUCACACCAGUGAUUUCUAAUUUAUAUCCCCCAAAACUUCACUUAAGCAUGAGAUAUUAUGACGCCAUUAGGCUGCCUGGCAACCACCUGGCAACAGGGUAAAAUGACCUGUUUUUUGCCUUCAUGCAUCUAAAGACAUUAAAAGCAUAGUCUAAUUUUAUUUCACUCCUAAGAUCACAAACACAUCAUAUUGUUUAAUUUCAUGACAGUAACAUCUCAUUUAUGUCCACAAAAACUGAAUUAUAUAUUACAUAACGUCAUCAUGUUAUCUACCAACCACCUAGCAAUGGGCUAAUAUGACUGUGGCAAAGGACCCAACGCACAAAACGUUGCAAGAGGGUUCAAUGCUUGUUUACAAUAGUUUUGUUUUUUUUAUCUCCACUUUUGUGGUUGUGCAGCUUUUCAGCUGAUGUCUGCAGCAUAGCACAACUAGCACACACAGCACCCCAUUAGGUCCUGGUGCCCUACUCAAAAUGAAAGGCAUGAUUAGAUGAUGGCGGUCAGGCUUGUGGUUCAGCCUCCCUUGACACCAGACCCUGAACCUGCUGCUCCCCCCCCUCCCUUACAGCUGAGCCACAAACCACACCCUGCCACAAUGACCCUUUUUUGCGUUUAUUCACCCACAGCACCUUAAAAAGCACUGUAUCAUUUAAUUCCACUAUCCACGUCACGAAAAGGCCAACGGUACUUGAGCAUAGACACUAGUGAUACAUAAUAAGUGGUUGCAAAUCUUUAGUGGUCAUUAACUGGCUGUAGUCUCCAACCCCUAGAGAUCAGCAGAUAAUUAGUAUCUUGCUUUGAGAAGCUCUCCUAGAUCAGCUUUUAUCUUGAAUCUAGAUUUUAGUAAAUGAAACACAUGCCCUACUGAAUUACA
Long non-coding RNA from Oreochromis niloticus (Nile tilapia), 3000 nucleotides. NCBI's taxonomy places the organism in Eukaryota, Metazoa, Chordata, Actinopteri, Cichliformes, Cichlidae. The record is from Ensembl.